CGAUCUACGACCUAAACGUAAUGUGCUCGCGCGCACGUGGCAAGAUAUCUCAACGUAAGGAUUAUCUACCUAUAUCUAUCUUACGAUUUAAUAUCCACCAUAUGAAUUUAUGCGUUCAAAUAUCUACUCUCUUCAUCGGAAAACGGAAAUUACGUGAAAUCAGGUGAAAAUUAUUAUGAUUUCGUAAGAGAUCUCAGUAUUCUCAUUAUCUUUUUUGUAUAUAUAUAUAUAUAUAUAUUUCCUUAAAUCGAACGAGAGUAGAUUAAAUUAGUAAUAGCUUUUUUGCACUCCUAUUACUGUAAUAGAAUUCAGUGACGUUGGCUCAUAAUUUUUUGCGAUUUCUUUGGUAACGCUUAUCGGUCGAACCGAUAAUAAAUUAUGCUUCCAAUUGAAUUUUUCUUAUUACUUUUUCGUAAUUGUGUUUACAUAACGUUAAUAAAGAUUUUCCUUAACAAAGACAACUAUUUUAUAUAGAAAGUAUGUUGUAAACUUUUCUCAAUACGUUUAAAUUAACAAAAUAUCUUUGAUGUUGUUUGUCAAAUAUACUCUAAUAUUUUUUUAAAUGAUACGAAUUGACAAUGAUAGCUGACAUUGUGUCAUUGGAAAUAUUUUUAACCAUCGAACAGAUGACCGCUGAAAAUUUGAUAAAAUUUUGUAUAAAAAAACAAGAAUCAAUGUUGAGUUUUGGAAAAAUAAAAAUUAAGUUGAAUUAUACCUAUUGAAAGACAAGGAAUAUGAAAUAGUCGAAGAAUGGAGAAUAAAGAGAAAGAGAAAAAGAGAGAGAGAGAGAGAGAGAGAGAGAGAGUGGCGAAAAAAUAAAAAUAAUAGAAGAAGAAAUACUCGAAGGAGAACUGGUUCCACGAGAAGCGAGAGAAAUGAGAGACGAAGAAGGAGGACACUUACGAUGUACCAAAGGAGGCUAGCGUGGUCUGUUACGAGAGAGAAAACCGGUUUUACGAUUCAAACUGGAGUAAAAGUGUGUAUUGCAUCGUCGUCGUUGGGAUUCGCCAAACUGAACCGCGCGUUUCCAUGUUUACGAUCCAGGUUGUUAUCUUACUUAGCCAAAAAUAGAUGUGUGUUCCUUUUGUUUCUUUGAAAAUAAUUUAAGGACUUUGUUUUUCUUUUCUCGCUUAGGAAAAAAAAAAAAAAAAAAAAAAAAAAAAGAAAAAAAAGGAUAGAUGAGUGACGUUCCAAGUAAAUGUGUUAAAAUUUAUACGACGUUAUCUCACAAAAAUAUUUUCAAUUUUUAUAUCUCAAGAACGGAAAUUGUACUUCCAAGUAAUUACAAAUAUGUCAAGGAUAUAUAUCUGUCAAAGUUUGCUCAUUGAAAAAGGAUUUGAACUCGGUAUGAAUCGACGAGACCUUGACAGAAAACUUUUCCCAAGUAAUAAAAAAAGAAAACUUUUUUCCAAAUAAUAAGAAAGAAAAACUUUUUCCAAAUAAUAAGAAAAGAGAACUUUUCUCAAAUAAUAAAAAAAGAAAAUUUUUUUUCUUCAAGGAUUUAAUUCCUUGGACAAGAGAAAGUGCCAUCGUAAAGUCGGCAUUGAAAUCACCAAGGAAAUAUUUAUCAUUCGACAAUCCGCAUGAGUUCUUUCAAUUGCUUUCCCGCGCUUAUCCCCAUUGUUCUUGAGAUAUGACAUUUUUCCGAAGGCGAAGAAACGAUUAUUUUAAUGUUGUAAAUUUAUUUAUAUCUUACAAAACGAAUGGCGGAUGCAGAAAUCUCGAAUGAGUAGGCGUGAGACUCGACGACUCUUUCGUACUCUUUGAUUGCAAUUAACAUCGUUAUCGCUCGAUGUGCUUACUCGGUGAAUAAUUAAUUAUCUACUAAGUAAUUACCCAGUUCGCUCCUUUGUGCGUUCUUUAACGCUUCCUCGUCAUCGAAAAAGAAAUAAUUUCACGUUAUUAUACCUAUUAUAUGUUUGCUACUUCUCAAUUAUCGAUCUUAACUUUCUCGGAAUAAAAAAAGGGAAAGAAAAAAAAAUUCAAAGAUUUUUUUUUAGCAUUAACGUUAUUAAUGAAUCGUGCGAAAGCUAGCGAUAAAAUUUUUUAUCAGAAAUACAAUGAUAUUCUAUCUCGUCGAAUGACACUAUAUUUUUACUAUAAUUAUCCAUUUGAACUUUUAAAAAAAAAAAAAAAAAAGUCAAUGAUCGAUUGACAUUAACAUUGUCAAUGAAUCAUAUGAAAGCUAGGGAUAGAAGAUAAAUUGAUAAAAAAAAAAAAAAAUCCAAUGAUAUACCUGUUUCUUUCAAAAUAAAAAUCCUAAGGGUUGUACUCAUGGGCCAUCAUCCAACUGGUUCCAACGAGAGAGGAGUCUGAGUCGUCGCUUUGUCUCUUCUUCUGAGGAUAGAGGAACCGAGGUCAAGCAAGAGCUCAGCGAUUGGACCAUGGUCGAAGCUUGAAGAAACCAGUUUCCGUUAAAAACGUACGAUUGUGGCGCCAACAAGCGGUCUUUGCUUGUGAUUGGGCAAGUAAGAGUCCAACAGCUCUCCUGGAGAGUCCGUUCUCCAGGGCGGGAGGAUGUUGACCCUCAUGCGCCAUCUUGAAUGACGGGAUACCGUCGAUCGUAGUACUACUCACAGCUGGUAUUGCGACGUUUCACGUGCACGUAGAGGAACGUGAACGUUCGAUACGUAUCUAAAUGUGCGUGUGUGUAUGUGUGUGUAUGUGUGCGCGCGCGCGCGCUUGCGUGUGUAUGUGUGUAUAACACAUCAUCACACACGAGUAAUGACACGUAUCGGCUUCGUACGAGAGUUGCUUUCGAAUUUAUAUGACACCGAUUAAAGAUUCGAUCUUCGUAGCUAUCACGGGCUAUGAUGAUUGACAAUUUUUAUAAAUAAUUUCGAAUCAAUUAAAACUAUUUGAUUUUAUUGUAAAUUACAUCAGUAAUAAUUUUAAUACGAUGUUAAAUCCACAGCAUGAUUAUUUUUGAUGGAUAAUUUUGUUAAAAUAAUUUCAAAUGAAUUAUUAUUAAUUUUUUUUUUUGUUUAUGUUAGCACGACGUCAGAUAGAUAAAUUUUACACGAAAUAAGAAAAUGCUAAAGAAGUUAAUGUGAAAUAAUCGUAAUGUUUGAAUGUAUCGAAAUAAUUUAUAGUCAUCGGGUAUCAUUUAUACAUGUCAGGGUGUGGAUGGCGCGUGCUUUAGUAUAAACAAUGUUAGCAUACUGUUUCUAUCGCAUGGAUCAAAUAACAUCGAUGAGACAUGUAACUGAUGUUAACGAGAGAGGCGGCGAUAUAAAACUUGCUGAAAGUUUUUAUCAUUUCUGUUGAUCGACGAUGACCAAGAGAUUAUAUUUCAUUGUAUGGAAAGAAUGAAUAAGUAGAUGAAAUACCUAACUACUAUGAUUCUUUGUUAAUUUCGUCCAAGAAACGCCUGAGAGAAACUUUAAUGCAUGCAAUGCAAUGCUGUAAGCGUGGUUGCAUAGGUACAGGCGUAUGAAGUAUUAUUGAUCAAUGUAUAUUAUUCAUGUGUUAUAUACUUAAUAUUAAUUAUUAUAUAUAAGAAUUAAUUAUGUAUUUAAAUAAAUUUUAAUAAUGCUAUUAACUUUAACUUUAA
Long non-coding RNA from Vespa velutina, 3553 nucleotides. RefSeq lists it as uncharacterized. The transcript has 2 exons. NCBI's taxonomy places the organism in Eukaryota, Metazoa, Arthropoda, Insecta, Hymenoptera, Vespidae. The record is from RefSeq and is a predicted model, not a curated record.